GGGAGCGCCGAGUCAGAAGAGAGCUAAAAUGGCGGAGGUUGUGAGUCCCUGCUUUGACUCUGUUUGCAAACUCUUGUUUCAUUGUUUAAGCGAUUAAAUCUCUCGAGUAGACGCUGUCUCUUUAGAUGCGAGGGCAAAAUAGCACUUUAUGGACUUCCACAGAGGACAUCAUGUUUAAUACGGUUCCGGAAAAAUCCAGUCAGAAGUUGUUCACGGAGUUUUCACAAUAACUGCUUCUCAUGAACCGAAGCUGGAUUUGCGCGACGUCUCCUCUUGAAAGUUGGAUUACUGUGCACUUCUGGAUCACAGACUAUUCGCAGCUGUACACAUCCUUCUACACUGUAUGCAAACAUGCAACAUCAUUACACACAGUACAAGGAGUCAGACUGGCAUAUGAGGAGCAAAGGAACCCAGGCAGUAGCAUCGUUUCACAAUGUUUCCAUCACCAUCAUCAGUGGAUGCCUUUGCCGUCCUUAGCCUGAGAUUUCAGAUUUGCAGCAAAAAAAAUUUGAUUUUCUCAUUUAUUGGAAUGCUGUGCAGGUAUUUGUACCUUGCAGCCAUCCAUUACAAUGUCACCAAGCCGUAACAAAAGCAGGAGAGGAAAAGUACAAGGCUAUGUUCCCAAAACACAAAUGACAUACCUUAUGUGGAGGAUGUGAUCAGGCUUGUGUUUGAUGAGGUAUUUGAAGAUAAGCUGAAGGAAACCCCGAUUCCAAUGGACCUGGCAUCACAGUUUGAGAGACCUUCAAAGGAGGACGUGAUUGCAUGCCAUCUUCAGUGCAGGGGUCGUCGAAAGCCAAAAUUGUGACCGAUCUGAUCAGGAAGCUCCAAGCGUAUCUGGAGAACAACACACGACAGGAUGAUAACCUUAUAGUGUCGUCUUAAAUAGCACCAGCUGACAAAGCUUUGAUAUGCCAUUUAUCUGAAUAGAUAGCUGUAAGAAAUGAAUUGAACAAUUUUUGAAAGAAGAGCACAAUAUGGUUACUAAAGUAUGUUUAUUUGUAUAUUGUUUAACAUUUAAAUAUAUAUUUGUAAUAAAUAAAAAAAACUUUUGACUGACUAUUA
Paramisgurnus dabryanus is the source of this 1065-nucleotide non-coding RNA. The record is from RefSeq and is a predicted model, not a curated record. NCBI's taxonomy places the organism in Eukaryota, Metazoa, Chordata, Actinopteri, Cypriniformes, Cobitidae.